Molecule: ribosomal RNA, 790 nt
Filed under: Pilea longicaulis
Lineage: Eukaryota; Viridiplantae; Streptophyta; Magnoliopsida; Rosales; Urticaceae
Description: eukaryotic LSU rRNA
Rfam family: 5.8S ribosomal RNA (bases 324-480)
Source: RNAcentral
GCCCCCGCGGACCAUUUGCGGAGAAGUUCCCAUUGAACCUUUAACCAUUUAGAGGAAGGGAGAAGUCCGUAACAAGGGUUUUCCCGUANGGUGAACCUUGCGGGAAGGAUCAUUUGUCGAAACCCUGCAAAGCAGAACGACCCGCGCAACAAAUUAUUACUCUUCCAUGAGAAGUUCGGGUCUCGGCUCGRACAUUCUCAAACCCCAAACAAACAAUCGGGCGCGGAAAGCGUCAAGGAAAAAUCAAAAGAGSAUCACCGCCCCUUUGUGGCACCGARCACGGUGUUCGCCUUGGGGAUGCGUGUGUUCUAUAAGAUCAUAACGACUCUCGGMAACGGAUAUCUCGGCUCUCGCAAUCRAUGAAGAACGUASCGAAAUGCGAUACVUGGUGUGAAUUGCARAAUUCCRUGAACCAUCGAGUUUUUGAACGCAAGUUGCGCCCAAAGCCUUUUGGCCGAGGGCACGCCUGCCUGGGCRUCACGCACCGUUGCCCCCUUACUCAAGCCCGUCUCUUCGGUAACGGAGAACGGACGAGUCUAGUGGGCGGAGAUUGGCUUCCCGUUGGCUUUGUCUUCCGGUUGGCCUAAAAUUGAAUUCCUUAGCCGCGAAUGUCGUGGCACUUGGUGGUCUUCGAUUAAAUCGUAAAACCCGCCACGCGCAUGCGUCGGACUAAAGGAUCUUCUUACACCCAAUGCCCGUCCCAAUCAGGGCGGCGCUUCCAACGCGACCCCAGGUCAGGCGGGGUUACCCGCUGAAUUUAAGCAUAUCAAUCUGCGGAGGAAAAGAAACU